Non-coding RNA from Linepithema humile (Argentine ant), 480 nucleotides. NCBI's taxonomy places the organism in Eukaryota, Metazoa, Arthropoda, Insecta, Hymenoptera, Formicidae. The record is from RefSeq and is a predicted model, not a curated record.
GAGAGCUCGCUCCAAGUUCCUCUCCGGCUUUCCGCUCUCCGGACUCUCUCUCUCUCCCCCUUUUCCUUUUCUUCUUCAAACUCUUCGUCUUCGCACGCCGAUUGUUCGCGCCACGCGAAACGGAAUCGCGCGGCGUUCGCGCGCGUGCGACGUCUCCUCUCUCGCUCCGCUCGUCGGCUUCGAAAGCCGGGGGGCCGCGUGUGUGCUACGGUUUUUGGAGAUUUAAGUCGGCGGGGAUAGUGAUACUUCGUCAUCGACAUUCGUCGCCGAAUCCCCGCGGGACUUGACAACAGAGUCGUGACUGGCGAUCUAUCAAACAUGUUACGCUUCGUGAUACUUCUGCUUUUAUGUAUCGCCGCUACUUACACGCCUGGUCACUGCGAGAACAAGAGUGAGUAUUUCUUUUUUUCUUACUUUUAUACGCGAAAGAUUCGCAAUUGUACAUCGUAGUUUUGUAUAUCUGUUAUUUGCCAUUUAUUG